GAUUAACGCUGGCGGCGUGCAUAACACAUUCAAGUCGAACGGAACAGGUUGCUUCGGUAAUUUGUUUAGUGGCGGACGGGUGAGUAACGCGUGAGCAAUCUACCUUCCAGUACGGGAUAACAACCGGAAACAGUUGCUAAUACCGUAUGAAAUGGCACCCUCGCAUGAGGGAACCAUCAAAGGCUUGCUGCUGGAAGAUGAGCUUGCGUCCGAUUAGAUAGUUGGCGGGGUAACGGCCCACCAAGUCGACGAUCGGUAGCCGGACUGAGAGGUUGAACGGCCACAUUGGAACUGAGACACGGCCCAAACUCCUACGGGAGGCAGCAGUGGGGGGAUAUUGGACAAUGGGGGAAACCCUGAUCCAGCGACGCCGCGUGAGUGAAGAAGUAUUUCGGUAUGUAAAGCUCUAUCAGCAGGGAAGAUAAUGACGGUACCUGACUAAGAAGCACCGGCUAAAUACGUG
RNAcentral lists this ribosomal RNA (463 nucleotides) under uncultured bacterium. RNAcentral's name for it is "bacterial SSU rRNA". It matches the Rfam family "Bacterial small subunit ribosomal RNA", at positions 28 to 507 of the family's 1533-position model. The record is from RNAcentral.